RNAcentral lists this ribosomal RNA (404 nucleotides) under Escherichia coli. RNAcentral's name for it is "bacterial SSU rRNA". It matches the Rfam family "Bacterial small subunit ribosomal RNA", at positions 1118 to 1522 of the family's 1533-position model. The record is from RNAcentral. RNAcentral also lists the same sequence under 4 other names. Lineage: Bacteria; Pseudomonadati; Pseudomonadota; Gammaproteobacteria; Enterobacterales; Enterobacteriaceae.
CCAGCGGUCCGGCCGGGAACUCAAAGGAGACUGCCAGUGAUAAACUGGAGGAAGGUGGGGAUGACGUCAAGUCAUCAUGGCCCUUACGACCAGGGCUACACACGUGCUACAAUGGCGCAUACAAAGAGAAGCGACCUCGCGAGAGCAAGCGGACCUCAUAAAGUGCGUCGUAGUCCGGAUUGGAGUCUGCAACUCGACUCCAUGAAGUCGGAAUCGCUAGUAAUCGUGGAUCAGAAUGCCACGGUGAAUACGUUCCCGGGCCUUGUACACACCGCCCGUCACACCAUGGGAGUGGGUUGCAAAAGAAGUAGGUAGCUUAACCUUCGGGAGGGCGCUUACCACUUUGUGAUUCAUGACUGGGGUGAAGUCGUAACAAGGUAACCGUAGGGGAACCUGCGGUUGGA